Molecule: ribosomal RNA, 501 nt
Filed under: uncultured bacterium
Lineage: Bacteria
Description: bacterial SSU rRNA
Rfam family: Bacterial small subunit ribosomal RNA
Source: RNAcentral
ACGAACGCUGGCGGCGUGCCUAAUACAUGCAAGUCGAGCGAAACUUAGAAAGCUUGCUUUCUAAGUUUAGCGGCGGACGGGUGAGUAACACGUGGGCAACCUGCCUAUAAGACUGGGAUAACUUCGGGAAACCGGAGCUAAUACCGGAUAAUAAUAAAGAUCACAUGGUUCUUUUAUUAGAAAGAUGGCUUCGGCUAUCACUUAUAGAGUCGGGCCCGCGGCGCAUUAGCUAGGUUGGUGAGGUAAUGGCUCACCAAGGCGACGAUGCGUAGCCGACCUGAGAGGGUGAUCGGCCACACUGGGACUGAGACACGGCCCAGACUCCUACGGGAGGCAGCAGUAGGGAAUCUUCCGCAAUGGACGAAAGUCUGACGGAGCAACGCCGCGUGAGUGAUGAAGGUUUUCGGAUCGUAAAGCUCUGUUGUUAGGGAAGAACAAGUGCCGUUCGAAUAGGGCGGCACCUUGACGGUACCUAACCAGAAAGCCACGGCUAACUACGUG